UGUUUUUUUGUUCUUGUUUUGGUGUUUUGUGAGCAAUAAUGGUGGACGCCAGACCCUCCAAUAAUGGUGCAUCGUUAACAUUUCCUGAUUCAUUAGGCAGUCGCCAUAAUUGACGAGGCGCGGGAACACCUACAAACUUCAAAAACUUGUGGGGCUCUCGAACCAAUCGCCACACAUCAUCAUCCGUUUUGCUGUCAGUUUCAAAGCAAUUGGGGGAUUCCAAUCCAAUUUUGCUCCAUCAAUUCUUCAUUAGGGGAACCCUAUUUGAGCUCCUCACGCCAAUGGCUGAAGAUCGAUUGGGUCCCCCUGUGCCUUGAUAACAAUCUCUCAGCGUUGAUGGAUCAGCUAAGCCAAGCUGACCUAACAACGGGCGCUUUCUGCUUCCUGUUAUGCAAUCCAUUACUUGUUUGUCUCCCUCCGCGAGGAAAAGUAUUUAUAAGCAAAAGAAGCUAAAACCAGAGAAUCUCAGCAAAAUUAAUGGAAAUAUGGGGUCCUUGUCGACGCAGAAGGGCGCAAUCUCAUCUGCGAAUGCAUUGAAUAAUGCGAAUUAACGCCACUGCCAGUUUCACAUGUUGCUUCUGCAUUCCACUCUCCCGUCGAGCUUCAAAUUGUUACAUCAAUAAACAGAGCUUCUUCAGAGAAAACUGGCGGAGAGGUAAAGAAGUAAAGGGUAAUAAUAAGAAAAGAAGAAGAAGACUCGUGUAAGGUUAAUACAUAGUUUGUAACAUGGUUGCUUAAGCGCUGGAUCAUCGACUGCAGCCGGUGGAUCCUUUCCAAAUAUCAUCUCACAGCUCAUGUCAUCAAAAUCUGCAAAGAAAGACACUUAUUUUAAUCAUAUUUUUAAAUACUUCUUGCCGCCCCCAUUUGCUCCCAGAUUCCCCUUGCUUAUUGACGUGUUUCUUGGUCUUUGACAUUAAUACUAGUGGUUCCCAGCUAUUAGUUACAUCAUGGUGCAUAAUUAACGCCUAAGAAAAAUGCCUUUGCUUGGUUGCAUUUUUUACACCUGUGAUGAUUGAUGUAUAUCAUGACCAAGAGCGAUACCUGGCUCAGUGGGAAAUCCAGCUUGAUGAUUAAUUAACGAUGGGAAUUCAGCUUCUAACUCUUGGAUUAUAACCAUAUUGCAAAAUUAAGCUGCAGGUUAGAAAUCCCACUUAGCUUGGAUGGGCCUAUCUGCAGUUCUUUUGUACCCAAAAUGGUUCGUGCAUGGGACCCUCCAUUCACAUUGACAACCAUGAUCCUUUCCACCAUUUGGUGCUGGGACAGGACAAGUCUAGAAGGGACUAGUGCCUCAAACACUGCAGGGUCCAACUAACCAAGCAAAGAAGACAGUGGUGAAUGCAGCAAAAUAUUCCCUUGCGAAUUUGGAUUGAGUUUCUUGACGCCAUUGUUGCCACUUCCACCAAGCUUUCAUAUCCACUCUUCUUGCUUCUCCAACCUGAAUAUACAUCAUAAGUAAUUCUAUUGUCCAAAUCUUCAAAACAGAAAAGAAAAGAGAUCACCUGAGGUUGCUUGUACUGCCUGAGAUACAUGGUGGAUGGCUAUUUUCUCAAACCAGUUGUCUGCAUAAACAGUGUUUGGUUUUCUUGUUU
Molecule: long non-coding RNA, 1589 nt
Organism: Cucurbita pepo subsp. pepo (vegetable marrow)
Lineage: Eukaryota; Viridiplantae; Streptophyta; Magnoliopsida; Cucurbitales; Cucurbitaceae
Source: RefSeq, a predicted model, not a curated record